This 303-nucleotide unclassified non-coding RNA is filed under the name Dasiphora fruticosa. RNAcentral describes it as "partial external transcribed spacer". Lineage: Eukaryota; Viridiplantae; Streptophyta; Magnoliopsida; Rosales; Rosaceae. The record is from RNAcentral.
UUGGCGGGCUCCGUGCUACGGCANNNNCCGUCCGCGCGCACUCCACGUCAGUGAUGCCUCAAGAGUUUCUUGUGCGUCGAUUGGAUUCCUGUAUUUGCUACCUGUCGUAAAGGAAUGCUGCCUCUCAUUGACCCUUUCCUUCCUCGACUCGUGCGGUCAGGGGGAGGACAUCGUAGCAGCGCCUGUGCCCCCUGCAUCGUGCGUGCCUCAUGGCGCGCACCUUACGACGGUUCCCAGGUUGCUGCUUGAUGCCUCGGAUACGGAAAAUUCGGUGGGCUUUGGGUGUUUGCACCCUCGAUGUCC